RNAcentral lists this long non-coding RNA (211 nucleotides) under Capsicum annuum. Its description in RNAcentral is "long non-coding RNA (CANN_LNC006246)". Lineage: Eukaryota; Viridiplantae; Streptophyta; Magnoliopsida; Solanales; Solanaceae. The record is from RNAcentral.
GGGUUUAUGACAGUCAAAUUGACGGUCCGUCAGAGCAACUGAUGGUCCACCAGAUUAUCCUUUGCUCGAGUGCUAAAACUCAGGCAUUCUACCUCGAAGUGACGGUCGAAGUGAUGAUUCAUCAGGAAACUAUCGGUCAACCAGAUCGUUCGUCACUCGGGGGUUAGAAAUGGGACAUUCUGCUUUGACUUGAUUGUCCUAUUGAUGGUCC